UACAGAGGGUGCAAGCGUUGUUCGGAAUUACUGGGCGUAAAGCGCGUGUAGGUGGCGAUGUAAGUCGGGUGUGAAAGCCCUUGGCUUAACCAAGGAAGUGCACUCGAUACUGUGUCGCUUGAGUAUCGGAGGGGACGGCGGAAUUCCCGGUGUAGAGGUGAAAUUCGUAGAUAUCGGGAGGAACACCUGUGGCGAAGGCGGCCGUCUGGACGAUUACUGACACUGAGACGCGAAAGCGUGGGUAGCAAACAGG
RNAcentral lists this ribosomal RNA (253 nucleotides) under uncultured bacterium. RNAcentral describes it as "partial 16S ribosomal RNA". It matches the Rfam family "Bacterial small subunit ribosomal RNA", at positions 524 to 776 of the family's 1533-position model. The record is from RNAcentral.